This 492-nucleotide ribosomal RNA is filed under the name uncultured bacterium. RNAcentral's name for it is "partial 16S ribosomal RNA". It matches the Rfam family "Bacterial small subunit ribosomal RNA", at positions 29 to 507 of the family's 1533-position model. The record is from RNAcentral.
AGUGAACGCUGGCGGUAGGCCUAACACAUGCAAGUCGAACGGCAGCACAGUAAGAGCUUGCUCUUACGGGUGGCGAGUGGCGGACGGGUGAGGAAUACAUCGGAAUCUACUUUUUCGUGGGGGAUAACGUAGGGAAACUGACGCUAAUACCGCAUACGACCUACGGGUGAAAGCAGGGGAUCUUCGGACCUUGCGCGAUUGAAUGAGCCGAUGUCGGAGUAGCUAGUUGGCGGGGUAAAGGCCCACCAAGGCGACGCUCCGUAGCUGGUCUGAGAGGAUGAUCAGCCACACUGGAACUGAGACACGGUCCAGACUCCUACGGGAGGCAGCAGUGGGGAAUAUUGGACAAAGGGCGCAAGCCUGAUCCAGCCACACCGCGUGGGUGAAGAAGGCCUUCGGGUUGUAAAGCCCUUUUGUUGGGAAAGAAAAGAAGCAGGUUAAUCCCCCGCUGUUCUGACGGUACCCAAAGAAUAAGCAACGGCUAACUUCGUG